GGAGAGGUGGGUGAGUGGCUCAAACCAACGGUUUGCUAAACCGUCAUAGGGGGUUAACCUCUAUCGAGGGUUCGAAUCCCUCCCUCUCCGCGA
This 93-nucleotide transfer RNA is filed under the name Bacteroidota bacterium. Its description in RNAcentral is "Bacteroidetes bacterium (bioreactor sludge metagenome) tRNA-Ser". It matches the Rfam family "tRNA". Rfam says of the family: Transfer RNA (tRNA) molecules are approximately 80 nucleotides in length. Their secondary structure includes four short double-helical elements and three loops (D, anti-codon, and T loops). Further hydrogen bonds mediate the characteristic L-shaped molecular structure. tRNAs have two regions of fundamental functional importance: the anti-codon, which is responsible for specific mRNA codon recognition, and the 3' end, to which the tRNAs corresponding amino acid is attached (by aminoacyl-tRNA synthetases). tRNAs cope with the degeneracy of the genetic code in two manners: having more than one tRNA (with a specific anti-codon) for a particular amino acid; and 'wobble' base-pairing, i.e. permitting non-standard base-pairing at the 3rd anti-codon position. The record is from RNAcentral. Lineage: Bacteria; Pseudomonadati; Bacteroidota.